UCCAGAGCACUGCUUGAGAAGGGAAAGCCAAGGACAGAACAGAGCCCUGGGGAGGAGCUCAUGGUGGCCAAGCUGAAGGAGGCAGGGAAUUUCUGUCACCCAGAGCCCUGGCAGAGGCUGCCGCUGUGUUGAGCCCAUCACUUGGUUGAGUUUCGCGGUGUCGCUGUACUUGGAAAGACAAUUUCCUUUGCAGCAGCAUUGGUGUGGGCUUUGGAUGAUCUCUCCUGGUUCUUCAUUUCUCUCUUUCUCAUGAAAGCCCUUCUCUUCUCGAAGGCCUGUGUGAAGAAGGCGUCGUGAUUGCAGCUGGACAUCUCAAUGGUCAUUUGGCAAUUAAAGGUCUGCUAUAGUCAUGGGACUAGACUUAGGAAGGAGUCUUAGCAUGGAGAGAGAGCAACCUGUCCAUAAAUAUUCACAAAAGGACAAUGGCUAAUGAAAAUUUAUAAUAUCAAAUGCAAUGUUCUACUACCACAUGAGCAAACUGACCUUCUUGAUGAUGCUCAAAUAUCUCUUUGCAAUGUCUAAUCCUGGACCCUGGCUUUUGGCUGCUCCUAGGAGAAGGGAAACCAGGCCUGUGGUACACGCUGAUAAGGACAGUGGGCUCCCCCAGGAAAAGCAGAUGAGACUCUCAUAUGGAUGACAAAUUUGUUAUCUAACAUUAUAUUUUCAUUUCUCUUAGGGAAUAUUUUUUGUAUAUCUACUAUGUUUCCAUGUU
Long non-coding RNA from Chlorocebus sabaeus (green monkey), 712 nucleotides. RefSeq lists it as uncharacterized. The record is from RefSeq and is a predicted model, not a curated record. NCBI's taxonomy places the organism in Eukaryota, Metazoa, Chordata, Mammalia, Primates, Cercopithecidae.